GUGUAAAUAAAAAUAUUUUGAGAAUAUUCUCGUAUGAUGGGCUGAAGUUGUAUAAAUUUAAUCUUUUCCAAACCCUCUAAGAUUAUAAUUGCUGGAGCUUCGUGCAUUGAGUUGCCUAUUUUUUAUUUGUCAGAAUAUUUUGUUUUUGAAACUCUUGAAUAUAAAAUCAAGGAGGACAGCGUCGCCCCUUUUUAGAGACCUGUGAAAAAAAAGUACCUAAAGGAGAUUGGAAAGGG
This 236-nucleotide long non-coding RNA is filed under the name Elaeis guineensis (African oil palm). Its description in RNAcentral is "long non-coding RNA (EGUI_LNC011107)". Lineage: Eukaryota; Viridiplantae; Streptophyta; Magnoliopsida; Arecales; Arecaceae. The record is from RNAcentral.